GUACUUGAAUGAAUUAUAUCAAGUGUUCCUUCCUUCUCCAGUCAUCUUGGAUUUAUAUCUCAGACUGAGAGAGUGAUCCCUUGGAACCGGCCAGUUGCUGUGACAGAGGAAAGCAAGAGCAUGGUGAAUAAUGUACUACUAUACACCCAGACUGCCAUUUGUCCCAUUUCAUUUGCUGAGAUGCCACCUAACACUUGCUGCUUGAUAAUUUCUCAUUGAUGAAGAGUAACACAGUUCUUCUCCAUGGUUGGUAAGAUUCUUGAUGGAUCUUAGCGUUCCUGUUGUUACCAUCAUGUCUUAAAUGGGAGGCAUAUGGUAAAUGCACAAUAAACAUUUUUCUGUAUUGUCUUAGUCCGUCUGGGCUUCUGUAAUGAAUUACCAUGGGCAGGAUGGCUUAAACAACACACAUCUCUUUCUCAAGAUAAGGGUUCUUGCAGAUCGCUGUCUGGUGAGGGCAUUCUCCCUGGUAGGCAAACCUCAUCUUCUCCUCGUGCCUUCCCCUAUGUCUGGACUUACUUAGGUUCAGGUUCUUCAGACCUCCACACAGAAGGAAUUCAGCGAGAGACAAAGUGAUAGGAAAAAAUAGAUUUUUUAGGAUAGGAUGCUUGUGAGAGAUGCAAGCAGGCAGGCAAGGAGGCACUGCCUAUAGUGAAUUUUUUAAAACAUAUUUCUUAGUGUUUGAUAGAAAAAAAUACAAAGAAUUAGUAAAUAUAUAGAAUAUUUAAACUACACAAAUAGCUAAUUUUAAUAAUAGAUAUUUAUAGUAAGUCUGAUCCUUCAAAUUAGAGGAUUUAUAUUAUUUCAAACAUAUGGAAACUGUAUAGAAAUUGACCCUUUGUGAGCUGAAAAAUGGGCUAAAACCCCCAAAAUAUUAUUAAAAUCAUGUUUUCUACCAAUGCUAUAUGUAAAAUGCAAAAAUAAAAUUAUACACAUAUAGAUAUCUCUAAAAAGCACAGUUGUAAACAGUACAUCUUUCAAAGGUUACUUAGAACAAUAUCAUUAUAGGAUACAAGUAAAAGAGUGCUUACAGAGUAAUUUAUAGUGUCAAAAAGCACAUGUUAAGAAAACACUUCAAAAUUUGUUUUCUUGAAUUUAAGAACUAAGAAAAAAAUCUGAGUCAACCCAAAAUACCAAAAUAAGAAAUUUAUAGAUAAUUUUAGUGAAAUAAGAAGUACCAAAAUAAUAAGAGAUAAAGCUUUGAAUAUAUUGAUAAAUUAUAUGUGACAUACCAAAAAUGAUGAAGAAAAAUAGAACUACAUAAGCAUUGUUAGGAAAGAAAAAAGGAAAGUUCCACAGACACAGAGAGACUGAACAAAUAGUAAGUGAAUUCUGUGGAAAACAUUAAUGAAAAUUUUAAUAAAAUGGAAAAUUUUCUAGACAAGCAUAAUUUAACAAAUAUAAUUUACCUGUAAGACCAUUAGAAUGAUCAAAGCAGUAGUUUUAAAAUCUGCCAUCAAAAAGUAUCAUAGCCAGGGAGUUUUAAUAUAGUGUUUUAGACAUACGUAGGUCAGAUGGUUCCUAGUCUCUCUUCUGAGACUGGAAAAGCAAAGCAUACUCCCUACCUCAUUUUAUGCAGCUAUGUUGGAGCUUCCUCAGAAGACAAUGCUCCAUAUCUCUUUCUCUUUCUAUGUAUCUCUUUCUCUUCUUCCUCCCCCUUCAUCUCUUGUAAUUUCUAAUCCAUCUUAUAUGACCAUGAAUUCCCAUUUUUAAAAUUAACCUGGCAAUUUAUAUUUUAGUUCAGCAAUAUUUAUUAAUUUCCUCUGUCCCAGACUCUUGAUAGUGUUUAUUGCAGAAGUGUUUGUUUUUUUCUUUUUGGCUAUGCCCAGGGCAUGUGGAUGUUCCCAGACUAGGGAUCGAACCUGCACCACAGCAGUGACCCAAGCUGCUACAGUGACAGUGCUGGAUCCUUAAUCUGCUGUGCCAUGAGAGAACUCCUAUGAUUGCUUCUGGAAUUAAAGAGACAUCUACACAGCAGAUUGGCUGCUAGCUACUCGCAGUUAGAGCCUAGUUCUUCAGUGAAAAUAUAGAUGGCAACUUACCCCUAAAUCAUCAACUCAUCUGUAUGUUCCUCUUUUUUGCCUUUCUCAAAUAAUUUGGAGUCUUUUGUAGACACAGCCUUAAAUACAAAACAAAUGGCAAAGUCCUAUGAGAUAAAACAGUGGCAAACUAAUUGCAGCUGUGUAGGAUGAAGCAGCACAAUCCAGAGGAAAAAGUAUCACUGAAAUUUAAAUGGCCAGGCUUAUACAUGUGGCUUUGCUACUGAGUUACCUGAGGCAAAUCACUUGGUCUUUCUGUACAUCAAUAUAACAGAGCCAGUACUACCUCUCCUGUCAGUUUUGCAAUAUUGCUGAGAAGUAAAUGGAAUAAAAUUAAAUAAUCUGAAAUCCUUUCAAAAUGUAUAGUAUAAAUAAAAAUGCAGUUAUUAUCCUCUUCAUUAUCAUCAUCACUAAUGUAUCAUGUGUAACAUUGAAUUUGAGGAAAGAAAAGUUCUAUUUUUAAAAUGAAUUUUGAGACAGAUUUUGAAAGCAAGAUGGGCUUAACUUUGGAAAAAAAGAAAAAGGAUCUUUUCUAGGGAGUAUUAUGUCUUUUCUAGUUUUAUUUCAUAGAUGUACAAUUCACAAUGCCAUGGCCUUCAAACAUUUUAUUGCAAUUACCACAUAUGCACACAUAAUAAACACACAUGAGCAGAUAUGGUAUAUACAUAAAAAGUCUUAUAAAACAUUAUUUACCUUUUCUAUAUUAGGUGCAGUCUGAUAUUUUCUAUUUCUAUUAUAUUCCAUCUAACUUUCAUUUUUAAAAGCUGUGUGUAUUUCACAUUAGUUUGAAAACUGGUACUUAAGCGCAUAUUAUAUCUCACAUCCAUAUCUUUUUUGCAUACGACCCCGGUGAAGACAACCUGUUAAUGCUGAUGGUAUCGGGCCAAGCAAAAUUCAAAUAUUUCUUUUGUUGGUGUCCAGAACACGUACUAAAAAUUUUUGUUCUGAAGUCGAGAAGUUCUAAUUGUGCUGUACUGUAUGUAUACCAUUAAAUUGUGGCACAGAAUUGGUUCAAAAAAAAAAAAAAAAAAAAAANAAAAAA
Molecule: long non-coding RNA, 3078 nt
Filed under: Sus scrofa (pig)
Lineage: Eukaryota; Metazoa; Chordata; Mammalia; Artiodactyla; Suidae
Description: lncRNA (ENSSSCG00025046523.1)
Source: RNAcentral